UACAGGGGGUGCAAACGUUGCUCGGAAUUAUUGGGCGUAAAGCGCACGUAGGCGGUUACUUAAGUCGGAUGUGAAAGCCCUUGGCUCAACCGAGGAAGUGCAUACGAAACUGAGUAACUGGAGUCCGAAAGAGGGUCGCGGAAUUCCCGGUGUAGAGGUGAAAUUCGUAGAUAUCGGGAGGAACACCGGUGGCGAAGGCGGCGACCUGGGUCGAGACUGACGCUGAGGUGCGAAAGCGUGGGGAGCAAACAGG
RNAcentral lists this ribosomal RNA (253 nucleotides) under uncultured bacterium. RNAcentral describes it as "partial 16S ribosomal RNA". It matches the Rfam family "Bacterial small subunit ribosomal RNA", at positions 524 to 776 of the family's 1533-position model. The record is from RNAcentral.